UAGGGUUUGUCAAGCAAAUAAUACACAUGGGUUAAAUCUUUCGUAGUGUUAGUAGUGAGAUUUUCUUUCCCUCUUGUGGUUAAUUAGAUUAGUUGGGCGACAAAAUUUAAGAAAUUAGAGUUGCAAUGUAAUUGUUGUAACAUAAUUCAAUAGUAUAUAUUAGUUUCGUAGUGCAUUGGCGAUGAUCAUAAUCAGGGUCUUCCAAUGUCUGGAUAGUCCUCUUAGACCGUUCAUCGGUCUGAGGAGGAAAGAUUAUGCUAAGACUCAUUCUACUAAUGAAAGGCUAAACGCCCAAGAAGGUAAUAAUAGUAUCUUAUCUUUCUUAUAUUUACUACAUAUUGCAUGCUAGUUCUAGAAAGUUUAAUUAAUGAUUAAUUUGAUGAUCAUAUAGAAGCUUCUUGAUGUAGUAAAAUGAAGAGAGAGUUUACAAGACUUCAUUUACAAGACUUAACAUUUAUCCACUUAAAAUUCAGCUCAACAUUCAUGAAAACAUUCUAUUUGGACGAUCAAGUUCAAGUACUCGCUGAAAGUUUGAUUAAAACAGAUAUUACUAUAAUAUGAUAAAAAUGGCUCAUCAAUUGAGAGUUGCAAGAUUUGUUUAAGAACUUUAAUUGAAAGAAAGAAACUUUGAAGCAUUAUUCUUAUGGAAAAGUAGCUGUACUAGCAUGCAAUGCAAAGCUUUUAAUAGUUUGCAUCAAGAAAUCAUGAUUUGGAUAAUAGAUUAGGAUUUAUACCUAUUUUUUUUGUCGCGUUUUAACUUUUGUUUGUUUUGCAAAAAAAAUUACAAGCGUACCCGCUUUUUCGCAUAACUUCAGCAUACAACACUGAAGUAGCAAAUGCAAUCACACAAAACUUCACCAUUUUAGUAGACAUGCCUGAAGUAGCAAGUAUACUAAAGCAAGUAUACUGAAGCAAGUAUGCUGAAGUUUUUAUUUUUGUAACUGGCGAACUUCAGCUCUAGAGCUUAAAGUUUUUGUUUUUGUAACUGACGAACUUCAGCUCUAAAACUUAAAUUUUUAUUUUGUAACUAGCUAACUUCAACUCUAGAGCCAUACAUUAUAUUAUUUCAAAUACGAGAGGCAAAAUAGCAAUACAAGUUUCAUAACUAUUAAGGUCCGAUAUAAUUUCUUAUACAGUGGGAUUCUGACUUGGAUCUUUAAGAGAAAUCUCAUGAGCCCAAGUCUCAGUAGAUUUUAAUAUCUAUUGUACCAAUUAUGAGGUUUUAUUUUCCUCCUGGGCUUGGCAUCGAGGAAUGUCAGAACAACGUGAGAAGAAGUUUUAGGUAACUUCAAAACCUCCUCUGAUGCUUCUUCUGAUUUAUGAGCACAACUCUCUCAAAUAAUUGUCAGUAUUUCCAAAACUCGUGCAUUUUUCAGAAAGAAGAAGAAAAACAAGAAGAAAACAAAGGAGGAAAAGGAGGAGGAGAAAUGGAGUUGAAGUUAUUUAAAAAGUGGGUACAAAUUAAUUUUUUUUUAAAAAUAAUUAUAAAUUAAAUGAGCGCAACCAAAUAAGGGACCCCGUGCAAUUUUUACGAAAAUACUGCAGAAACUGCACGGGCCCAAGUAGUAUGAUUGGGCCUCGAAAAGGGUGCUUUGUGUUUGACAUGAUCGUCUAUAUUUUCAUUAAUGUGGUGCUUAUACUUUUUUGAGCCGAUAGUCUAUUAGAAACACCUUCUCUAUCUUCAUAAGGUAGAAAAGGUCUGCAUAUAUACUAUCCUCCCUAUAUAUCACGGUGUGAUGCAGGAUAGUACUGGGUAUAUUGUUAUAGUGCAUGAGCCUCAACAAAUAUUUCCUAAGUUGUAAUUAAUAAGUAGAAAUUACACCAGGUGCUACUCUGAAGGCUUCUAUUUAAGAAUUUUCCAAUAUCUCAUAACUUUUAAUUUUUUAUUCAAUUUUUCAGGGCACAAAUAUCUUAAAUCAUUCCUAAACUUAAAUUUGUAAUUUAAAUUUUAAAAAUAAAAUAAGUACUGAUUAAUUCGUAAAUAACAUCGCUUAGAGUGACUGUUUGUGCACUUCCCACAAUUAAUACGGAUGAUCGGAUUGAAACGAGACGUAGCCUUGUACAUCUAUAUAUAAUUAUAUAAAACUGGGGAAUACAAAUCUAACGUGGCAUCUCUCACUUGCCAGGGUUUUUAUUUAUCUCUUUUUUUAGAGUUUUGCCUUUUUAAAUGAAGAAAAAUAAUGUCCUACCUAGGGGUAGAGAGACUGUUUCCAAAUAGACCCCAGGCAUCCUUCCCUCAAAGAACUUCCCACAUUACUCUUGGGGAGAUUCGAGCUCGCACCUCUCGGUUGAAAAUGGGGAUUGCUUACCAUCAGAGCAACCCCUCUUAUCUCCUAACACUCUUUCCACAUAACUUUUGUGGUGGUUGAUUAGCGCUAAUUGGUAUUUGAAUCUUUCACAUUACCUGUCAUGCCAUGUUUGAUUGUUCCUACAGCUUUUUACAAUCUAUUUGGUGAAGAUUCGAUUUAUUUGCAGGGGUUCCAUUUCACUUUUUGCGGUUCUAAGAUGUCAGAGACAAGGUUAAGGCUUUGGAGAUAGUCUCUAUUGUUCCAGGUAUUGAAAUAGUUAAAUUUUUCUUUGUUUUUCACCAAUCAAGAUUUCAUUGUUAAUUGAUACAAAACCACAAUGCUUCAGCUCCAAUUUUCCUGCUAUUCUUUUUUGCCAUAUGAGUUUGUGAAAAAAUUAGUUAUAGCAUGAUCAAUCAUUAUCACUAAUAAUUUAUUAUAUUAACUUUCCAGUUGUCCCC
This 2746-nucleotide long non-coding RNA is filed under the name Nicotiana benthamiana. Its description in RNAcentral is "long non-coding RNA (NBEN_LNC009294)". Lineage: Eukaryota; Viridiplantae; Streptophyta; Magnoliopsida; Solanales; Solanaceae. The record is from RNAcentral.